UACGAAGGGGGCUAGCGUUGCUCGGAAUCACUGGGCGUAAAGCGCACGUAGGCGGACUCUUAAGUCGGUGGUGAAAUCCUGGAGCUCAACUCCAGAACUGCCUUCGAUACUGAGAGUCUCGAGUCCGGGAGAGGUGAGUGGAACUGCGAGUGUAGAGGUGAAAUUCGUAGAUAUUCGCAAGAACACCAGUGGCGAAGGCGGCUCACUGCCCGUACUGGACGCUGAGAGC
This 229-nucleotide ribosomal RNA is filed under the name uncultured bacterium. RNAcentral describes it as "partial 16S ribosomal RNA". It matches the Rfam family "Bacterial small subunit ribosomal RNA", at positions 524 to 754 of the family's 1533-position model. The record is from RNAcentral.